ACUGAAGGUGCAAGCGUUAAUCGGAAUUACUGGGCGUAAAGCGCGCGUAGGCGGUUUGUUAAGUUGGAUGUGAAAGCCCAGGGCUCAACCUUGGAACUGCAUCCGAUACUGGCAGGCUAGAAUAUGGAAGAGGAGGAGAGAAUUUCAGGUGUAGCGGUGAAAUGCGUAGAGAUCUGAAGGAAUACCAGUGGCGAAGGCGGCCUCCUGGCCUAAUAUUGACGCUGAGGUGCGAAAGCGUGGGGAGCAAACAGGAUUAGAUACCCCGGCGUA
Molecule: ribosomal RNA, 270 nt
Filed under: uncultured bacterium
Lineage: Bacteria
Description: partial 16S ribosomal RNA
Rfam family: Bacterial small subunit ribosomal RNA
Source: RNAcentral